AUAUCAAUAAGCGGAGGAAAAGAAACUAACAAGGAUUCCCCUAGUAACGGCGAGUGAAGCGGGAAGAGCUCAAAUUUAAAAUCUGGUUUGCUUGCAAAUCCGAGUUGUAGUCUGAAGAAACGUUUUCCAUGAAAAUCGAGGCACAAGUCCUUUGGAACAGGGCAUCAUAGAGGGUGAGAAUCCCGUCCAUGGUCUCGAAUCUUUCAUUUUGUGAUACGUUUUCUAAGAGUCAGGUUGUUUGGGAAUGCAGCCUAAAAUGGGUGGUAAAUUUCAUCUAAAGCUAAAUAUUGGCGAGAGACCGAUAGCGAACAAGUACCGUGAGGGAAAGAUGAAAAGAACUUUGAAAAGAGAGUUAAAAAGUACGUGAAAUUGUUGAAAGGGAACCGUUUGAAGCCAGUCUUGCUUACUUGUGAUCAGUCUUAGCUUCGGCUUGGAUGCACUCUCAGGUUAUGCAGGUCAACGUCAGUUUGAGAGGUGGGAAAAAAGCUUGAGGAAUGUGGCCUUCGGGUGUUAUAGCCUCUUGCUAAAUACCAUCUUUUGGACUGAGGCUCGCAGCAAAAAUGUGGGCAGGUUUGCGUUUGAGGUGAUCCAUUAUCAAGACAGCUUGCUGACUUGGUUUUGGCUAGCUUCACUGUAAGCUUCGCUUCUAAUUUGCUUAGGUCGUUGACAUAAUGGCUUUAAAUGA
Molecule: ribosomal RNA, 685 nt
Filed under: uncultured fungus
Lineage: Eukaryota; Fungi
Description: eukaryotic LSU rRNA
Rfam family: Eukaryotic large subunit ribosomal RNA
Source: RNAcentral